This 520-nucleotide ribosomal RNA is filed under the name uncultured bacterium. RNAcentral's name for it is "bacterial SSU rRNA". It matches the Rfam family "Bacterial small subunit ribosomal RNA", at positions 19 to 518 of the family's 1533-position model. The record is from RNAcentral.
CUGGCUCAGAACGAACGCUGGCGGCGUGCUUAACACAUGCAAGUCGAACGCGAAAGGGACUUCGGUCCUGAGUAAAGUGGCGCACGGGUGAGUAACGCGUAGAUAACCUGUCUUCAUGUCUGGAAUAAUACGCCGAAAGGGGUACUAAUACCGGAUAUUCUUGCUUUUCAUAAGUUAUGCAAGCAAAGGUGGCCUCUGCAUAUGCUACUGCAUGAAGAGGGGUCUGCGUACCAUUAGCUAGUAGGUGGGGUAAUGGCCUACCUAGGCGACGAUGGUUAGCGGGUCUGAGAGGAUGAUCCGCCACACUGGCACUGGAACACGGGCCAGACUCCUACGGGAGGCAGCAGUGAGGAAUAUUGCGCAAUGGGGGAAACCCUGACGCAGCGACGCCGCGUGAAGUGAGGAAGGCCUUCGGGUCGUAAAGCUCUGUCAAGAGGAAAGAAGUGUACAAUGGCUAAUACCUGUUGUAUUUGACGGUACCUCUAAAGGAAGCACCGGCUAACUCCGUGCCAGCCGCCGC